Molecule: ribosomal RNA, 254 nt
Filed under: uncultured bacterium
Lineage: Bacteria
Description: partial 16S ribosomal RNA
Rfam family: Bacterial small subunit ribosomal RNA
Source: RNAcentral
UACGGGGGGGGCAAGCGUUGUUCGGAUUUACUGGGCGUAAAGGGCGCGUAGGCGGCCACCGCAAGUCGACUGUGAAAUCUCCGGGCUUAACCCGGAAAGGUCAGCCGAUACUGCGGGGCUAGAGUGCAGAAGGGGCAACUGGAAUUCUCGGUGUAGCGGUGAAAUGCGCAGAUAUCAGGAGGAACACCGGUGGCGAAGGCGGUUCUCUGGGCAUUACCUGACGCUGAGGAGCGAAAGUGUGGGGAGCGAACAGG